Molecule: ribosomal RNA, 253 nt
Filed under: uncultured bacterium
Lineage: Bacteria
Description: partial 16S ribosomal RNA
Rfam family: Bacterial small subunit ribosomal RNA
Source: RNAcentral
UACAGAGGGUGCAAGCGUUGUUCGGAAUUACUGGGCGUAAAGGGCGCGUAGGCGGUGUGUCAAGUCAGGCGUGAAAGCCCCGGGCUCAACCUGGGAACCGCGCUUGAGACUGGCACGCUCGAGUUCGGGAGAGGAUGGUGGAAUUCCCAGUGUAGAGGUGAAAUUCGUAGAUAUUGGGAAGAACACCGAUGGCGAAGGCAGCCAUCUGGACCGACACUGACGCUGAGGCGCGAAAGCUAGGGGAGCGAACGGG